CUGAGCAGGAAGGAGAGAGGAGGAAAGUGAAAGUGUUUCUGAACAGAGAAUGUCUGCAUUAGUUUCUUCCCUACAGAAGGCUCGACGUUUGUAGUUGUAUUUGAUGUAUUGAGUGUGUUUUGUCUUCAGUCAGCUGGAUCAGCCCACCGAGCGUCAAGGAGGAACAAAGGUCCGCGUUGCUAUGGUGACCAGCAGUCUGCACAUCAGUCUCCAAGGUUAAAGGCUUGACCAACGUUUAACUGACCUGUCCAGGAAGACCUUUCACAGAGGAAUCAAAAGAACACAAUGGAGGAGAGAGAAAAAAUCAUAGAAGAAAGAGAGAAGCUUCUGAAUCAGAAAGAAAUUAAUUUUCUAGAAAGAGAAAAGCAUCUGGAUGGGAAAGAGAGCCGGUUAUUAGAGAUGGAAAAGCGUUUGGAUGGGAGAGAUACUCGUUUGGAUGAGAGAGAAAAGCGCCUGGACGGAAGAGAUAUUCGUUUGGAUGAGAGAGAAAAGCGCCUGGAAAGAAGAGAGGGACAGACAGACCCAAGACAACAUGUCUUGUCUAGGAGAAGUCAUUGGGGGUUCCUAGGGUCUUUCCUGCCCAUGGGAGAAAGUUUUCCAAUUAUCCCACCCCCCAUAAAAAGAAGAGGAAGCAUUGCUGAACCUCUAAACUGUAAGUCAUUAUCCUGUCAGGUUGUGAGUCAUUGUUCAUUAUUCAAUUGUCUUGAUUUAACGCACGGUGGCAUGGUGGGUAGCGCUGUCGCCUCACAGCAAGGAGGGCCUGGGUUCGAUUCCCCGGCCGGGCGACCAGGGUCCUCUCUGUGUGGAGUUUGCAUGUUCUCCCUGUGUCUGCGUGGGUUUCCUCCGGGUUCUCCGGUUUCCUCCCACGGUCCAAAGACAUGCAGUCAGGCCAAUUGGACAUGCUAAAUUACCCCUAGGUGUGAGUGACUGUUUGUGUCUGUCUGUCUGCCCUACGAUGGACUGGCGACCUGUCCAGGUUGUAUCCUGCCUUUCGCCCGAAGACUGCUGGGAUAGGCUCCAGCACCCCCCCGCGACCCUGACGGAGAAGCGGCAUGGAUGGAUGGAUGAUUUAACGUUACAAUAAACUUAAAGGGGAACAUCACUGGCUUUUUAAAAUGUCUGAAUAGUUAAAUGUUUAAGGUGUAAACGCUCAUUCAGAGUGAUCUGAUGUGACGUACUCUGAAUUAGAGAACCUCUCUGCCUCUGAUUCUCUGACUCUUCAAGCCCUGGGCCAACAUUCAACAACCAUGGGCUCCUCUUAGCAGCUGAAGACGUGAAAAUCAAGCAAACUGAUGCCUACAAAGAAGGAGAAGAGUAUAAAAAGAACUGCUCAUAUCCAAAAGGCAAAGCAAAACCCCCACAUGACAGCAAAGGACCUGCAGGAAGGUUAAGUUGACACAUUAGAGGCGGUGCACUGUUCUACUGUGCAGCACUGCUUGUGC
Molecule: long non-coding RNA, 1442 nt
Organism: Pygocentrus nattereri (red-bellied piranha)
Lineage: Eukaryota; Metazoa; Chordata; Actinopteri; Characiformes; Serrasalmidae
Source: Ensembl